AUGGAAGCUCCGCCGCCUCUUUUCCUACCAUUCCUGCUCCUCCUCCUCCUCCUAGCCUCGAACACAGCCACCGCGGCCAGGGAUGGCUGCAGCGAGGGCUGCGACCUCGCGCUGGCCUCCUACUACGUCACGAAGAACAUGAACGUCACCUUCAUCGCGCAGCUCUUCGGCUUCUCGGACUACCGAGCGCUUGCCAAGUAUAACCGCGGGCUCCCCAGGAUCGACUACGUCACCACCGGGAACCGCGUCGACGUCCCCUUCCCCUGCAAGUGCCUCGCGCGGCCCUCCGACCCGGCCUCCACCUACCUCGCCGCCUCCAUCCCCUACAGAGUCGUCACGGGAGAAACCUACGCCAGCAUCGCCAGCAACUUCAACAACCUCACCACCGCCGACUGGCUGCAGGCCACCAAUUCGUACCCGCCCAACAACAUCCCCGACGACGCCAUCGUCAACGCCACCGUCAACUGCUCCUGCGGCGACGCCGGGAUCUCCACGGAUUACGGUCUCUUCCGCACAUUCCCGCUAAGGGACUGGGAUACGCUCGCCUCGGUCGCCGCAACUCGUGACCUCUCGUCGCCGGAGCAGAUGGACACACUUAGGAGGUAUAAUCCCGGCAUGGAUGGUGCCACCGGGAGCGGCAUCGUGUAUAUCCCUGCCAAAGAUCCCGAUGGAAGUUACCGUCCUCUUAAAUCAUCAGCAGGAAAAAAGGUUUCAGCAGGAGCAAUAGCAGGAAGUGUUGUGGCUGGUGUAGUGGCACCAGUCUUGGGUGUCUUGUUAUUCUUGUUUUAUAGGCGAAGAAAGGCGAAACAGAAUGCACUGCGGCUAGCCAGUACAAUAUUAAUGCAAAAGGUGACAUCAUCGGCCACUCAAGCUGACGUAGCUUCAUUAGCUGCUGGCAUUACAGUUGACAAAUCAGUCGAGUUCACAUACCAAGAACUUUUUAAUGCUACAGAAGGCUUCAACAUAACUCAUAAAAUUGGACAAGGUGGUUUUGGUGCUGUCUAUUAUGCUGAGCUUGUAGGCGAGAAAGCCGCCAUAAAAAAAAUGGACAUGCAGGCUACUCAGGAGUUUCUUGCCGAGUUAAAGGUUUUGACACAUGUUCACCAUCUAAAUCUGGUGCGCUUGAUUGGUUAUUGCACAGAGAGUUCUUUGUUCCUUGUCUAUGAAUUUGUCGAGAAUGGCAACUUAAGCCAGCAUUUGCGCGGGACUGGUUACGAGCCUCUUUCUUGGGCUGAAAGAGUUCGGAUUGCGCUAGAUUCAGCAAGAGGUCUUGAGUACAUUCAUGAGCAUACCGUUCCAGUCUACAUACAUCGGGACAUCAAAUCCGCAAACAUCUUGAUAGACAAGAACACCCGUGCAAAGGUUGCAGAUUUUGGUCUGACAAAGCUUACAGAAGUUGGUGGUGCAUCUUUGCAAACACGUGUUGUUGGUACAUUCGGUUACAUGCCUCCAGAAUACGUUCGAUACGGCGAUAUUUCUCGUAAGGUUGAUGUGUAUGCCUUUGGUGUUGUCUUGUACGAACUUAUCUCAGGCAAAGAUGCCAUUGUCCGACCAACCGAUGGAUCUGCUAGUGGUUCAAGGGGACUGGUUUAUCUGUUUGAAGAGGCUCUCACUGCACUGGAUCCAAAAGAAGGCCUCCAGAAGCUGAUCGAUCCAAAGCUGGGAGACGACUAUCCCGUCGAUGCAAUUCUCAUGAUGACGCACCUGGCGAACGCAUGCACAGAAGAGGACCCCAAGCUGAGGCCCACGAUGAGGUCCGUGGUUGUCGCGCUGAUGACGCUCUCUUCCAUGAGCGAGUUCUGGGAUAUGAAAAACCCAGGCUUGGUGAACCUCAUGUCCGGGAGAUGA
RNAcentral lists this ribosomal RNA (1848 nucleotides) under Triticum aestivum (bread wheat). Its description in RNAcentral is "partial small subunit ribosomal RNA". Lineage: Eukaryota; Viridiplantae; Streptophyta; Magnoliopsida; Poales; Poaceae. The record is from RNAcentral.